RNAcentral lists this ribosomal RNA (497 nucleotides) under uncultured bacterium. Its description in RNAcentral is "partial 16S ribosomal RNA". It matches the Rfam family "Bacterial small subunit ribosomal RNA", at positions 28 to 507 of the family's 1533-position model. The record is from RNAcentral.
GAUGAACGCUGGCGGCGUGCCUAAUACAUGCAAGUCGAGCGAACAGACGAGGAGCUUGCUCCUCUGACGUUAGCGGCGGACGGGUGAGUAACACGUGGAUAACCUACCUAUAAGACUGGGAUAACUUCGGGAAACCGGAGCUAAUACCGGAUAAUAUAUUGAACCGCAUGGUUCAAUAGUGAAAGACGGUUUUGCUGUCACUUAUAGAUGGAUCCGCGCCGCAUUAUCUAGUUGGUAAGGUAACGGCUUACCAAGGCAACGAUGCGUAGCCGACCUGGGAGGGUGAUCGGCCACACUGGAACUGAGACACGGUCCAGACUCCUACGGGAGGCAGCAGUAGGGAAUCUUCCGCAAUGGGCGAAAGCCUGACGGAGCAACGCCGCGUGAGUGAUGAAGGUCUUCGGAUCGUAAAACUCUGUUAUUAGGGAAGAACAAAUGUGUAAGUAACUAUGCACGUCUUGACGGUACCUAAUCAGAAAGCCACGGCUAACUACGUG